ACGGAAGGCAGCAGUGAGGAAUAUUGGUCAAUGGGCGGAAGCCUGAACCAGCCAAGUCGCGUGAAGGAUGAAGGUAUUAUGUAUUGUAAACUUCUUUAGUCGCAGGGAAAUAAGGCGGACGCGUCCGCUGAUGCUAGUAUGCGAAGAAUAAGGAUCGGCUAACUCCGUGCCAGCAGCCGCGGUAAUACGGAGGAUCCGAGCGUUAUCCGGAUUUAUUGGGUUUAAAGGGUGCGCAGGCGGUCUUUUAAGUCAGUGGUCAAAUCGGGGGGCUCAACCCCAUCCCGCCAUUGAUACUGGAGGACUUGAUUGCGGUCGAGGUUGGCGGAAUUCGUCGUGUAGCGGUGAAAUGCAUAGAUAUGACGAAGAACACCGAUUGCGUAGGCAGCUGACCAGGCCGUAAAUGACGCUCAUGCACGAAAGUGCGGGGAUCGAACAGGAUUAGAUACCCUGGUA
RNAcentral lists this ribosomal RNA (453 nucleotides) under uncultured Porphyromonadaceae bacterium. RNAcentral's name for it is "partial 16S ribosomal RNA". It matches the Rfam family "Bacterial small subunit ribosomal RNA", at positions 341 to 792 of the family's 1533-position model. The record is from RNAcentral. Lineage: Bacteria; Pseudomonadati; Bacteroidota; Bacteroidia; Bacteroidales; Porphyromonadaceae.